Molecule: ribosomal RNA, 491 nt
Filed under: uncultured bacterium
Lineage: Bacteria
Description: partial 16S ribosomal RNA
Rfam family: Bacterial small subunit ribosomal RNA
Source: RNAcentral
AGUGAACGCUGGCGGUAGGCCUAACACAUGCAAGUCGAACGGCAGCACAGUAAGAGCUUGCUCUUACGGGUGGCGAGUGGCGGACGGGUGAGGAAUACAUCGGAAUCUACUUUUUCGUGGGGGAUAACGUAGGGAAACUUACGCUAAUACCGCAUACGACCUACGGGUGAAAGCAGGGGAUCUUCGGACCUUGCGCGAUUGAAUGAGCCGAUGUCGGAUUAGCUAGUUGGCGGGGUAAAGGCCCACCAAGGCGACGAUCCGUAGCUGGUCUGAGAGGAUGAUCAGCCAAACUGGAACUGAGACACGGUCCAGACUCCUACGGGAGGCAGCAGUGGGGAAUAUUGGACAAGGGGCGCAAGCCUGAUCCAGCCAUACCGCGUGGGUGAAGAAGGCCUUCGGGUUGUAAAGCCCUUUUGUUGGGAAAGAAAAGCAGCAGGUUAAUACCCCGCUGUUCUGACGGUACCCAAAGAAUAAACACCGGCGAACUUCGU